RNAcentral lists this ribosomal RNA (459 nucleotides) under Praon bicolor. Its description in RNAcentral is "partial 16S ribosomal RNA". Lineage: Eukaryota; Metazoa; Arthropoda; Insecta; Hymenoptera; Braconidae. The record is from RNAcentral.
UAAUCUGCCCAAUGAUAUUUUAUUUAAUGGCUGCAGUAUUUAUAACUGUACAAAGGUAGCAUAACAAUUAGUUUUUUAAUUGAAAACUAGAAUGAAAGAUUAAAUGAAAUAUAUACUAUAUAAAUAAAAUUAAAAAUUAAAAUUAAAAUUUAAGUAAAAAUUCUUAAAUUAUUUUAAAAGACGAGAAGACCCUAUAGAAUUUUAUUUUUUGUUAUUUUAAAAUUUAGUAAUAAAUUUAAAUAUAUAAUAAAAAAUUUAAUUGGGGUAAUUUUAAAAUUAAAUUAAUUUUUAUUUAAAAAACAUAAAUUAAUGAAUUUUUAAUCUUAAAAUUUAGAUUAAAAAAAUAAAUUACCUUAGGGAUAACAGCGUAAUUUUUUUUGAUAGUUCAUAUUAAUAAAAAAGAUUUCGACCUCGAUGUUGAAUUAAGAUUAAUUUAAAAGUAAAAAUUUAAAAAUUUAA